This 301-nucleotide ribosomal RNA is filed under the name uncultured bacterium. RNAcentral describes it as "partial 16S ribosomal RNA". It matches the Rfam family "Bacterial small subunit ribosomal RNA", at positions 509 to 807 of the family's 1533-position model. The record is from RNAcentral.
CAGCCGCCGCGGUAAUACGUAGGUGGCAAGCGUUGUCCGGAAUUAUUGGGCGUAAAGGGCUCGCAGGCGGUUUCUUAAGUCUGAUGUGAAAGCCCCCGGCUCAACCGGGGAGGGUCAUUGGAAACUGGGAAACUUGAGUGCAGAAGAGGAGAGUGGAAUUCCACGUGUAGCGGUGAAAUGCGUAGAGAUGUGGAGGAACACCAGUGGCGAAGGCGACUCUCUGGUCUGUAACUGACGCUGAGGAGCGGAAGCGUGGGGAGCGAGCAGGAUUAGAUACCCGCGUAGUCCCUGUCUCUUAUAC